ACGAACGCUGGCGGCGUGCCUAAUACAUGCAAGUUGAGCGAUGAAGAUUGGUGCUUGCACCCAUUUGAAGAGCAGCGAACGGGUGAGUAACGCGUGGGGAAUCUGCCUUUGAGCGGGGGACAACAUUUGGAAACGAAUGCUAAUACCGCAUAACAACUUUAAACAUAAGUUUUAAGUUUGAAAGAUGCAAUUGCAUCACUCAAAGAUGAUCCCGCGUUGUAUUAGCUAGUUGGUGAGGUAAAGGCUCACCAAGGCGAUGAUACAUAGCCGACCUGAGAGGGUGAUCGGCCACAUUGGGACUGAGACACGGCCCAAACUCCUACGGGAGGCAGCAGUAGGGAAUCUUCGGCAAUGGACGAAAGUCUGACCGAGCAACGCCGCGUGAGUGAAGAAGGUUUUCGGAUCGUAAAACUCUGUUGGUAGAGAAGAACGUUGGUGAGAGUGGAAAGCUCAUCAAGUGACGGUAACUACCCAGAAAGGGACGGCUAACUACGUG
This 496-nucleotide ribosomal RNA is filed under the name uncultured bacterium. RNAcentral describes it as "partial 16S ribosomal RNA". It matches the Rfam family "Bacterial small subunit ribosomal RNA", at positions 29 to 507 of the family's 1533-position model. The record is from RNAcentral.